AGAAAAGCCACACAGACAAGUCACUAAUGGUCUAGGUGUCGUCAGAGAAGAAUAAAUGAGCCUGCGGAGUUCAGAAGGAAGAUGAUCACUUCCUUCUGGGCAUAUGGGAAGCUCUGCAGACAAGGAGCUGUGAACAUGGUCUUCAGGGACACAAGAAAAAUUUGCAUCUGCGAUGGUGAAUAUUAGGUGGCAACUUGAUUGGACUAAGAGAUGCCUGGAUGACUGGUGAAGGACUGUUUCUGGCUGAGACAACAAUCACAGCCUGCAGUUCUCACUCCCUCAUCCUCAAAGGAAUGAAGACGUGGCAAUCCCACGCCCCUGCCAGCCCCUCCCACCCCACGAGGCUCUCCCUGAAGUUAUUCAUCCGUCCACCUGCAAAUCCGGGAGGAUCCCGGUGUUGGAAGGACCUAGCCAAGCCGUGGCUCUUGGCAAACAGAUCUGUUUCUUUCUAGUUGUCCUGGAAGACCAGGAGUCAAUGAAAACAGGAGCUGAAAGCACCACUAUCAUGUGACAUGAACAAGUCAUCAGCUCCUCAGUGAUCUGGAAAAUGGCUGGUGGCACUUGGGGGACAGGUUGCAGCAGAGGUAGGCACGAGAGGAGCGACUCACGC
Molecule: long non-coding RNA, 610 nt
Filed under: Piliocolobus tephrosceles (Ugandan red Colobus)
Lineage: Eukaryota; Metazoa; Chordata; Mammalia; Primates; Cercopithecidae
Description: lncRNA (ENSPTEG00000033571.1)
Source: RNAcentral